Molecule: ribosomal RNA, 253 nt
Filed under: uncultured bacterium
Lineage: Bacteria
Description: partial 16S ribosomal RNA
Rfam family: Bacterial small subunit ribosomal RNA
Source: RNAcentral
UACAGAGGUCUCAAGCGUUGUUCGGAUUCAUUGGGCGUAAAGGGUGCGUAGGCGGCGCGGUAAGUCGGGUGUGAAAUCUCGGAGCUUAACUCCGAAACUGCAUUCGAUACUGCCGUGCUUGAGGACUGGAGAGGAGACUGGAAUUUACGGUGUAGUGGUGAAAUGCGUAGAGAUCCGGAGGAACACCAGUGGCGAAGGCGGCCGCCUGGACCUGACCUGACGCUGAGGCGCGAAGGCGUGGGGAGCGAACGGG